RNAcentral lists this unclassified non-coding RNA (188 nucleotides) under rhizosphere metagenome. Its description in RNAcentral is "partial ribosomal RNA internal transcribed spacer region". The record is from RNAcentral.
GAAUUUUAGGGCGUCUACUUCGGUAGAGCCUGACCUCCACUCUCUAACACUGUGCACUCAUUGGUGGGAUUUAAAAAGGAGAUAGUAUCAAAUUGGAAUUUCCCACGGCUCACUUUUAAACAUUAGUCAAAGUAUGUAACGAAAUAUCGAAAUAAAAAAAAACUUUCAACAACGGAUCUCUUGGCUCU